Molecule: ribosomal RNA, 579 nt
Filed under: uncultured bacterium
Lineage: Bacteria
Description: bacterial SSU rRNA
Rfam family: Bacterial small subunit ribosomal RNA
Source: RNAcentral
CUCCUACGGGAGGCAGCAGUAAGGAAUAUUGGUCAAUGGACGCAAGUCUGAACCAGCCAUGCCGCGUGAAGGAAGACGGCCCUACGGGUUGUAAACUUCUUUUGUACGGGAAAAAACCACCGGUCGUGAACCGGUGCUGAUGGUACCGUAAGAAUAAGCAUCGGCUAACUCCGUGCCAGCAGCCGCGGUAAUACGUAGGGUGCGAGCGUUAAUCGGAAUUACUGGGCGUAAAGGGUGCGCAGGCGGUUAUUUAAGACAGAUGUGAAAUCCCCGGGCUCAACCUGGGAACUGCGUUUGUGACUGAAUGGCUAGAGUGCGGCAGAGGGGGGUGGAAUUCCACGUGUAGCAGUGAAAUGCGUAGAGAUGCGGAGGAACACCGAUGGCGAAGGCAGCCCCCUGGGCCAGCACUGACGCUCAUGCACGAAAGCGUGGGGAGCAAACAGGAUUAGAUACCCUGGUAGUCCACGCCCUAAACGAUGUCAACUAGGUGUUGGGAGCAAUCUCAGUGGCUAAGCGAAAGUGAUAAGUAUCCCACCUGGGGAGUACGUUCGCAAGAAUGAAACUCAAAGGAAUUGACGA